Molecule: long non-coding RNA, 11769 nt
Filed under: Triticum aestivum (bread wheat)
Lineage: Eukaryota; Viridiplantae; Streptophyta; Magnoliopsida; Poales; Poaceae
Description: long non-coding RNA (TAES_LNC002812)
Source: RNAcentral
CCGGAUAAUCAAGCUACAGAUAAACUCUGCUAAUGAUGCCACGUCACCUCCGUUACUGUUGCUAAUCCAUCGUUAGUUCAAAAACCAAUUCAAAAUUUAAAUUCAAAUUCAACAAUAAAAGUUUUCAAAUAUUAAAACAAAAUUGUUUUGGAUGUGACAAAUAAUUGGUUAGUAAUAUUGGUAGAGAAACAACAUUUUUGUAAAAUGCUUGGCUACCCUAGACUAAUCAAAAACAGUGGCUAAAAUAAUAAUUUAAUAGCUUUUUAAAUUAUAGCACUAUUAAACUAGUUUACUUUGGGUCCAAACUAAGUUUGGCAGUGGACUAAUUAGUAAUACUAAUUUAGGUGCUCAUUUGGUAUUUCAUAAAACUAACAUAAAAGAAACUUCAAGUGAAAACAGUAAAGAAAAUAAAGAAAAUGGAAAGUAUAAAAAAACAGAAAAACAAACUAUCAAGAAUAAAACGGGCCACCCCCUCCACUGGGCCACGGCCCAGCUAACCGGCCAGCCUACUAACUAGCCGGCCCAACCGCGGCCUCUACUUCCCCCCUGGAUGCCCGAAACCCUAGCCCCACUCGCUCACUUCCCCCCCUCCCGCACGACGCCCACUCCGCUCACUCUCCCCCCUCCUCCCCGAUCCAGAUCGGAUCGGGGGAACAAACCCCGUCGCCCCCUGCGCCCCGACGCCAGCCCGCCACACGCCGGACCGCCCCGCCGCCACGCGACGCCGCCCCGUCCUCUCAUCCUCCCCGACCAGCCACCCAGGGCAACGGCGCCCCUCGCCGCAUGCCUGACGCGCCCGGAACUCGUCCUCGCCGGAGCGCUCCAUCGCCGGCCUGCCUCCUCUAUGUCGUCAUCGUCCCCAUCCUCCUCCCCAAAGGCUCCACCGAGCCUCGCCGACCCUCUUCUCUGCAAUGCCGGUGAGGCCACGGCCUCCCUCUCCUCUUCUUUCCUCUCUGUUGCACGUCACCGGCCCGCACCCCGUUUGCCCCUGCUCGACCCAGAGCGCGCGCCCAUGCGCUCCCGUGCGCCCUCGCGCACGCGACUAGCGCCAUCCAGCCGCAGCCACGACGCCCGUCGCCCCUUGCUGCCUGCGCCCGCCGCCGUCUCUACCCUGCGACACCUGGCCGUGUCUGCCCGGGUCGCCGCCGUCGUCCGGGGCCUCAUCCCACUCCCGCUGCGUCCGCCGUCCGCUGCGGCGGCCCUCUCCGCCACCGCGGCCGCCCUGGCCUCUGGCCUCGUCCCGCCACUCCCUGCGGGCGAGCGCCCACACAGACGCCCGUCGCCCCCAUCCCGUGUGGGCUCGGGCGCGUGCCCGCAGCCAGUUACGCCCGCUAGGCCUCUGAGCCACUGACAAGGGGGCCCUGCCCCAGAAUGUUUUAAUAAAAAAAAGGAAAAAAUAAUAAAAAUAAAUUAUUAAUUAAUUAAUUAGUGGCUUAAUUAAGUUAAUUAAUCAUGUUUAAUUAAUCUAAUUAACUAGUUAGUUUACUUAAACAGUAAUUAGUUUAACCUAAACCCUAAUCAACAUAACAGUGUAUGACAGGUGGGUCCCAUUGGGCCCACACGUCAGUUUGACUAGUCAACACCUCUGUUGACUGCUGAUGUCAUGAUGACGUCAGCAAACAUUGUUAUGGAUAAUGUUGAAUUAAAUUAAAUUAAUUAAAAUUCUAAAAAUGAUUUAAAUAUUUUAAAAUUAAUAUAAAAUAAACCGUAGCUCGGAUGGAAAAACUUUGUACAUGAAAGUUGCUCAGAACAACGAUACGAAUCCAGAUACGCAGCCCGUUCAUCCGCCACGCGUCCCUAGCAUAGUGAACCUGCAACAUUUCACCUCCGGUUCAUCUGACCGAAAACACAAAACACCGGGGAUACAUUCCCGGUUGUUCCCCCCUUCAUCGGUAUCACCUCAUACCAUGUUAGGGCACCCCUAGCACCGUUACUUGUCAUGUCAUGCAUCGCUAUGCAUCUGUUUGCUUAAGUAUUUAUUGUUUCUUCCCCCCUCUUCUCUCGCUAGACACCGAGACCGACGCCGCUGCUACCCAGUACGACUACGGUGUUGACGGCCCCACUUUCUUGCCAGAGCAACCAGGCAAGCCCCCCCCCUGAUCACCAGAUAUCACCUAUUCUCCUCUAUACUGCUUGCAUUAGAGUAGUGUAGCAUGUUACUGCUUUCCGUUAAUCCUAUUCUGAUGCAUAGCCUGACAUUGUUGCUACAUCUGUUGAUACCUUACCUGCAAUCCUAAAUACUUAGUAUAGGAUGCUAGUUUAUCAUCAAUGGCCCUACAUUCUUGUCAGUCUGCCUUGCUAUACUAUUGGGCCGUGAUCACUCGGGAGGUGAUCACGGAUAUAUACUAUACAUACAUACAUACUAUACAGAUGGUGACUAAAGUUGGGUCAGCUCGAUGAGUACCCGCAAGUGAUUCUGAUGAGGGGGCUGAAAGGACAGGUGGCUCCAUCCCGGUAGAGGUGGGCCUGGGUUCCCGACGGCCCCCGACUGUUACUUUAUGGCGGAGCGACAGGGCAGGUUGAGACUGCCUAGGAGAGAGGUGGGCCUGGCCCUGUUCGGCGUUCGCGGAUACUUAACACGCUUAACGAGAUCUUGGUAUUUGAUCUGAGUUGGCUACGAGCCUAUACGCACUAACCAUCUACGUGGGAGUAGUUAUGGGUAUCCCGGCGUCGUGGUAUCAGCCGAAGCACUUUAGACGUCAGCGACGGAGCGGCGCGCGCCGGAUUGGAACGUAAGCCUGCUCUUGUAUUAAGGGGGCUAGUUCUGCUUCCGGCCGCCCAUGCAACGUGCAGGUGUGCUAAGGGCGAUGGGCCCAGACCCCUGUGCACUUAGGUUUAGACCGGCGUGCUGGCCUCUCUGUUGAGCCUAGGUGGGGCUGCGACGUGUUGAUCUUCCGAGGCCGGGCAUGACCCAGGAAAGUGUGUCCGGCCAAAUGGGAUCGAGCGUGUUGGGUAAGUUGGUGCACCCCUGCAGGGAAGUUAAUCUAUUCGAAUAGCCGUGAUCUUCGGUAACAGGACGACUUGGAGUUGUACCUUGACCUUAUGACAACUAGAACCGGAUACUUAAUAAAACACACCCUUCCAAGUUCCACAGACAACCCGGUGAUCGCUUUUCCACAGGGCGACGAGGGGAGGAUCGCCGGGUAGGAUUAUGCUAUGCGAUGCUACUAGAGAUGCUACUGCCAUGCUACUGGAGAUGCUACUUGGAGAUGCUACUUGGAGGACUUCAAUCUACUCUCUUCUACUUGCUGCAAGACGGAGGCUGCCAGAAGCGUAGUCUUCGACAGGAUUAGCUAUCCCCCUCUUAUUCUGGCAUUCUGCAGUUCAGUCCACUGAUAUGGCCUCCUUACACAUAUACCCAUGCAUAUGUAGUGUAGUUCCUUGCUUGUGAGUACUUUGGAUGAGUACUCACGGUUGCUUUCUCCCCCCUUUUUCCCCCUUCCCUUUCUUUCUGGUUGUCGCAACCAGAUGCUGGAGUCCAGGAGCCAGACGCCACCCUCGACGACGACUCCUACUACACCGGAGGGGCCUACUACUACGAGCUACCCGCUGACGACGACCAGGAGUAGUUUAGGAGGAUCCCAGGCAGGAGGCCUGCGCCUCUUUCGAUCUGUAUCCCAGUUUGUGCUAGCCUUCUUAUGGAAAACUUGUUUAACUUAUGUCUAUACUCAGAUAUUGUUGCUUCCGCUGACUCGUCUAUGAUCGAGCUCUUGUAUUCGAGCCUUCGAGGCCCCUGGCUUGUAAUAUGAUGCUUGUAUGACUUAUUUUAUUUGUAGAGUUCUGUUGUGAUAUCUUCCCGUGAGUCCCUGAUCUUCAUCGUACACAUUUGCGUGUAUGAUUAGUGUACGAUUAAAUCGGGGGCGUGACAAGUUGGUAUCAGAGCCGACUGCCUAUAGGAAUCCCCCUUUCCAACUCCUUGGCCGAAGUCGAGUCUAGUCGUUGAAAAACUUUUACUAACAUGGCUGUGUGGCCCAUGGGCCCACGUCGCCAUCGGGUGGUAGUAGGAUCUUUUACUCCUCGACCUAUACUCUGGGACUCUGAUCUCUCUACUAUUCAGGUUAAAUGAAUUUGCUAACUCUAAGAUUAGGAUCUCGUAACUCCGCCUAUGUUGUCUCAACAUAGCCGGUCCCAAGCCCGGGUAAAGGAGGAGGGUUGUGAUAGGCUUGGUGAGCCAACGUAAAAACUCAGCCACUCUUAUGGAGAUGAAACCCAAAAGAUUUUCGUUGGGGCGUAACCCUCUCAGCGACGCGCCACAUCGGAACCCGGGUGUGGUGGAAAAUGGGCAAGGGCCGGGCCGUCACCCCCCAAGUGGCGCGCCGUAUCUUGAUCCGGAUACGCUGGCAAGUGAGCGAGGAUCGGGUCGUCGCAACCUUAGUGGCGCGCUACAUCGGCGCCCGGAUGUAGUGGAAAAUGAGCAAGGGUCUUCGCAUUUGACUCGACGAGUGCGAAGGGUAAGGAAGCUAGCCGAGCCUAGGAGGAUUCGCUUAGGUAGCUGGAACGUAGGGUCUCUGACAGGGAAGCUUCGGGAGCUAGUUGAUGCAGCAGUGAGGAGAGGUGUUGAUAUCCUUUGCGUCCAAGAAACCAAAUGGAGAGGACAGAAGGCAAAGGAGGUGGAGGAUACCGGCUUCAAGCUGUAGUACACGGGGACGGCUGCAAACAGAAAUGGCGUAGGCAUCUUGAUCAACAAGAGCCUCAAGUAUGGAGUGGUAGACGUCAGGAGAUGUGGGGACCGGAUUAUCCUGGUCAAGCUGGUAGCUGAGGACUUGGUUCUCAAUGUUAUCAGCGCAUAUGCCCCGCAAGUAGGCCACAAUGAGAACACCAAGAGGGAGUUCUGGGAAGGCUUGGAAGACAUGGUUAGGAGUGUACUGAUUGGUGAGAAGCUCUUCAUAGGAGGAGACCUCAAUGGCCACGUGGGUACAUCUAACACAGGUUUUGAAGGGGCGCAUGGGGGCUUUGGCUAUGGCAUCAGGAAUCAAGAAGGAGAAGAUGUCUUAAGCUUUGCUCUAGCCUACAACAUGAUUGUAGCUAACACCCUCUUUAGAAAGAGAGAAUCACAUCUGGUGACUUUUAGUAGUGGCCAACACUCUAGCCAGAUUGAUUUCAUCCUCUCGAGAAGAGAAGAUAGGCGUGCGUGCCUAGACUGUAAGGUGAUACCUGGGGAGAGUGUUGUACCCCAACAUAAGCUGGUGGUUGCUGACUUCCACUUUCGGAUUCGUGUCCAGCGGGAUAAGCGUGCCAAGGUCGCUAGAACGAAGUGGUGGAAGCUCAAGGGGGAGGUAGCUCAGGUGUUCAAGGAGAGGGUAUUUAAGGAGGGCCCUUGGGAGGAAGGAGGGGAUGCGGACAAUGUGUGGAUGAAGAUGGCGACUUGCAUUCGUAAGGUGGCCUCGGAGGAGUUUGGAGUGUCCAGGGGAAGGAGAAGCGAAAAUAAGGAUACCUGGUGGUGGAAUGAUGAUGUCCAGAAGGCGCUUAAAGAGAAGAAAGAUUGCUUCAGACGCCUAUACCUGGAUAGGAGUGCAGACAACAUAGAGAAGUACAAGAUGGCGAAGAAGGCCGCAAAGCGAGCUGUUGGUGAAGCAAGGGGUCGGGCAUAUGAGGACCUCUACCAACAGUUAGGCACGAAGGAAGGUGAAAGGGACAUCUAUAAGAUGGCUAAGAUCCGGGAGAGGAAGACGAGGGAUAUUGGCCAAGUCAAAUGCAUCAAGGACGGAGCAGGACAACUCUUGGUGAAGGACGAAGAGAUUAAGCAUAGAUGGCGGGAGUACUUCGACAAGCUGUUCAAUGGGGAGAAUGAGAGUUCUACCAUUGAACUGAAUGACUCCUUUGAUGAGACCAGCAUGCGUUUUGUGCGGCGCAUCCAAGAGUCUGAGGUGAAGGAGGCUUUAAAAAGGAUGAAAGGAGGCAAGGCGAUGGGCCCUGAUUGUAUCCCCAUUGAGGUGUGGAAAGGUCUCGGGGACAUAGCGAUAGUAUGGCUAACCAAGCUUUUCAACCUCAUUUUUCGGGCAAACAAGAUGCCAGAAGAAUGGAGACGGAGUAUAUUAGUACCAAUCUUCAAGAACAAGGGGGAUGUUCAGAGUUGUACUAAUUACCGUGGAAUUAAGCUGAUGAGGCAUACAAUGAAGCUAUGGGAGAGAGUCAUUGAGCACCGCUUAAGAAGAAUGACAAGCGUGACCAAAAAUCAGUUUGGUUUCAUGCCUGGGAGGUCGACCAUGGAAGCCAUUUUCUUGGUACGACAACUUAUGGAGAGAUAUAGGGAGCAUAAGAAGGACUUGCAUAUGGUGUUCAUUGACUUGGAGAAGGCCUAUGAUAAGAUAUCGCGGAAUGUCAUGUGGUGGGCCUUGGAGAAACACAAAGUCCCAGCAAAGUACAUUACCCUCAUCAAGGACAUGUACAAUAAUGUUGUGACAAGUGUUCGAACAAGUGAUGUCGACAUGACUUCCCGAUUAAGAUAGGACUGCAUCAGGGGUCAGCUUUGAGCCCUUAUCUUUUUGCAUUGGUGAUGGAUGAGGUCACAAGGGGUAUACAAGGAGAUAUCCCAUGGUGUAUGCUCUUUGCGGAUGAUGUGGUGCUAGUUGACGAUAGUCGGACGGGGGUAAAUAGGAAGUUAGAGUUAUGGAGACAAACCUUGGAAUCGAAAGGGUUUAGGCUUAGUAGAACUAAAACCGAGUACAUGAUGUGCGGUUUCAGUACUACUAGCUGUGAGGAGGAGGAGGUUAGCCUUGAUGGCCAGGUGGUACCUCGGAAGGACACCUUUCGGUAUUUGGGGUCAAUGUUGCAGGAGGAUGGGGGUAUUGAUGAAGAUGUGAACCAUCGAAUCAAAGCCGGAUGGAUGAAGUGGCGCCAAGCUUCUGGCAUUCUCUGUGACAAGAGAGUGCCACAAAAGCUAAAAGGCAAGUUCUACAGGACGGCAGUUCGACCCGCAAUGUUGUAUGGCGCGGAGUGUUGGCCGACUAAAAGGCGACAUGUUCAACAGUUAGGCGUGGCGGAGAUGCGUAUGUUGAGAUGGAUGUGUGGCCACACGAGGAAGGAUCGAGUCCGUAAUGAUGAUAUACGAGAUAGAGUUGGGGUAGCACCAAUUGAGGAGAAGCUUGUCCAACAUCGUUUGAGAUGGUUUGGGCAUAUUCAGCGCCGGCCUCCAGAAGUUCCAGUGCAUAGCGGACGGCUAACGCGUGCGGAGAAUGUCAAGAGAGGGCGGGGUCGACCGAUUUUGACAUGGGAGGAGUCCGUUAAGAGAGACCUGAAGGAUUGGAGUAUCGACAAAGAGCUAGCUAUGGACAGGGGUGCGUGGAAGCUUGCUAUCCAUGUGCCAGAGCCAUGAGUUGGUUGCGAGAUCUUAUGGGUUUCACCUCUAGCCUACCCCAACUUGUUUGGGACUAAAGGCUUUGUUGUUGUUGUUGUUGUUGUAAGAUUAGGAUCUCGUGAUCGCAUCCACCCGGAGAGCCCCUUACUACAGAGGAUCGCCUGCUACAUCAGAAGAUUCCGAAGAUACUCUCUGAUGUUCUCUCGAGACUUUGUGCCCAUCACUUAUGCUAUUCCUGACCACCGAUAAAUCCGUAUGGAUAACUACUUACACUUGCCAUUCAUAUGAUCAUCCCCCAUUGAUCUUGUUAUUACAAGAUACCCCGAAGUUUUCUCUAUUGUUCCGAGAAUACUUUGUGCCUACUGCCUAGCAGUUCUUUGCCACAUGAAUACCCCCUUCAAAUAAAUUCUCGCACUUAUCGAGUAUCCGUUCAUCCCCCAGUUGUUCAUGUGUUACACAAAAGUCUUCGAAAUACCACCCGAUAUUCCGAAAAUCCUCAGCAACCUAUUGCUCUGGAAUUUCUUGUUUGCUUUCAUUAUGAUUAAUCCCAUAAGUAUAGAAAUCUUAUUGACAUUCCUUGUCAUUAUCAUUUUGAGUCUGUUGACUCAAUAUGUUGCGAAUACACGCAAUCAUCAUUGAUCCUUAUAAAUUACCUUUCCGACGGAGCUUCCAUUCUUUUAACUGGAAUUGGUUCUCGACCAAUCCAAUUGUUGUUGAUUGUACCCUAAGGCUAUUCAACUUAUCCAUCCCUAAUCAGAGCAUUGCUUCUGAUCCCUUGAUUUGGAAAUCAUAAUUCCUUUGCAUUUGACAAUUGAGUUAGUCAGUUGUUUCUAUAAUCUGAUCUUCUUGCAUUCUUCUUCCUCUAGUUGAGUACCGAUACUCAUAUCAGAUCCUUUGUGGACCAUCAAGUCCUUUGUUGGAUUGUUAUCCGACAGUGUCCUUCACAUUUGAUCACCUUGUGAGUUCUUCCCCUGAUACAUAAUGCCUUUGUUAAGUUGUAUCCUCUGCUUGGCCAACCAUGCCCUGCUUUCGGGCUUGUGUUAUUUACUCUUGAAACUUGUGGUAUAUGUUUCUAAGAAGCCCCUAUGGGUUGAACAUAUGCCUUCUCUAAACCGUGUGAACCCGAAAGUUUUCACGAGUCAUACUAUUCUGGUGCUUCACCAGAUAAAAUUUCAACACUGCAACUUCAUCGAACGUGAGAAGUGAAUGAAAGGUUAUGCAUUGGAGAAGUGGGAGUCGACCUUGAACUUGUGUUCAUGCCCAUGGACACGAUGUAGAUCUUAUCAUUAAAGCUUCUCUUAAAUAAAUUAUUCCUUUGGUAUAAGUUCAUCUUAUAUCUAGGAUCUGGCCUUCUGCAACCGUGGUUCCGACCAUGAUUGUUCUUCUUUGAUCUCAUUUCUCGGACAAGUUAAAACAAUUGUCUUCUAUGGAUCAAUACACCAGUCCAACCUUUACUUUGAUCUUGUGUCGAGUAUUACCCCCCUGGCAUCUCGAGAUUAUCAUGGAACUGCAUAACUUUUUAUGAGUUCUUCAUCAAGUGCUACCUUCCCACUGAUUGCAAUUUUUCGCGGGCUCUGAGUUAUUGAACACUCAAAGACACCGAUAACUGAACCGAGUCCGCACUAUGGUUCAAAAACUCUUCGGUAAGCUUCUAUAAGUACGAGUUUGUACCCGAUCACGCCAUUCCUAGCCUAAUCGGCUAUAUCGUUAUCAUGCUAAAUUUUAACCGUGCUACCUGGUCCUUAUUCCCGGAGCACAACUUUUGACGAUAGCUAAGCUUACGGCGAUCGUCCUCGGCAUAUCAUUUCGCCUUGAACAACAAUCUUUGAUUUCAAGUUUGUAUUGUACUAGUGGUUUCAAUAACCUUUCGCUUCAUCAUUCCUUUGACUUGUUGUCAUCGCCGAUCAAUUACACCUUCAUGAAAUCUCUCGACAAUUGUGUCGGAUCACCUUCAACACUUUGACUUCUUCCGAGAUGUUAACGGUGUUCAUGAUGAGAAAUACCCUCCUUGCCCUUGAUGAUUUUAUUAUCAUCGACAACACCCUUGACUUCCUUUCAUCACGAGCUUGUCCACAUUAUGAAUACAACCUGCUCUCCAGCUAAUGUUGUGUUCUGCCUUGAAGUAUUACUGUCUUUUCUAUCAAGAAUGUUGUGAGGAUUGCUCCACCUCUUAAGAAUUCUUGAAAUAGUGAUACUUCUCCCCAUCACCUUCUUUCUUGGUCCCCGUGUUGUUUCUAACCGGAAUACCGACAAUUGAACUAAAGUCCUAGCAACCCUAUUGCUUUGAAGUGAGUGGUCAAUAACUCCAUUAUAAGUCUUUUGGUUAUUGAAUCGCCAUUCUAACAUUGAUCAUGCUACCUAAGCCCAUAUUUCGGGUGCACCUUUCAACCAAUGUUUAAUUGUGUAUGUUUCCCUCGAGCAUACAUCAUUAUAUCAUCAGAUCUGACAAAUGUUAUCUCCUUGUCCGCAUAAUUGUGGGAACCCAUCUUUUUGUAAAUCUCAAUGAAUUUUUGUUGAGUCCAUCAGCCACCUCCUCAUCCCCUCCUUGGUGUAAUGAUGAACUAUCGUUUCAGGAACCCGCUCCCAUAGUUCAUUUCCCGAGAAUCUUGCAAUGUCAUUUCAUCGAAUUUGUGUUGCACCUUUUCUUCUCGGACAUCCCGAGUCUGAGGUAUCAUGACACCAACCGGAUCCGAAUCUCGGUCAGAUAUGAUGGUUGGGACAACUUUCCAGGAGUUAUGAUGUUGGUCCUUUAAUGACCCGGUAAUAUGAUGUCCUGCCUAGCACCCCCCCCCCCCCGGCUGGAGGACCUAUCAUUAUAGUUUCCUUUUUAACAAGGCUAACCAUUCUUCCAUGAGGAAAUUAUAAGACUUAUUCUACAAGUUGUUCUUGAUGGAUCCUUCGUGUAUCCAUAGUCCGACCUUUGCUUGAAGACCAUGUCAAUGCUAUCUCGAAGCUUGUCUGUGGUACUCCGAUUUUCAAUAAGAGCAUUUGAAGCCCAAUGCUAAAUGUUUCUUGCUCAAUUCUCCAAACACCGUUGUAUGGGUAAGGUCUUGAAAUUCCUCUCCGCUUACCUACUUUCUAUCCCGUCGUGGAUAUCUUGCUCUACUUGUCCUUGGGAAGGAUAUACCCCUGAAACAUGUGUUUAAACACAUUUUACUUUCCAUUGUUCUGACUAUUCUGGUAAUCCGACUUAACUAAGCAGUGAUAAUUCCCUGCUUAGGUAAGAACCUUGUGGUACCACUCUGUCAGUAAGACCCUGUUACUUUUGUUGAUGACAUUCAGGUAACCACCGAUGGACGAGAACUUUGCCUAAUGGUCCACCUCGUUCAACGAGCAGGAAAAUGGUUCUCUUCGUCCCUCGCCCUUGGUACCGACGUUGUUACCGACAUAACUGACAGGUUAUUCUCUGGCAUGCCUUGCUAUCAUAACCGUGCAAGAUGUCACCGCUCUUUCAACGUUUAACCCACAUGGUGAGCCCAUAACCCACAGUUUCACAGGAUCGAAACCUAACUCUCCUUUACACCCUAGUGUCAAAGUUAUUCCUCACACUUGGCUUCGUAUGUAACUCACGGGCCACCUGCCACUAUUCGGGUAUCAGACGCAAUGCUUACUCUCGCUGCUCUGAACCUCUGUCUCCCUCUGGUUCAGACUUCGAGCAACUACCUAUCCGCUUGGAACCUCUUAUGGUACCUUCGUACCUUACUCUCGAUGUAUUUUAUAUGUUCAACUCGAGAGAUAAUCUUAUGCUCAUUCUUAUGUUAACCCCAGAUGGUUUCCCUCAUAAACAUUCUGUCUUAGCUGAGCUGCCCCUUACCUAUUCGUAAGUACGAUGGAGUCCCCGAAGAAAGGACGACAACUUGAUCAUGAUGACCUGAAACAGCGGAAUGAAGACAACAAUGUAAUGGAUCGACGUCUUCGAGAAGAGCAACCAAGACCGAGAAGAUCCGUUAGAUUUUUCGUAACCCAAUUCCUUCCCCCUUACUCCCCUCCUAAAUCUCGAGACGAGAUUUCUUGUAGUGGAGGAGAAUUGUGACGCCCGGAUAAUCAAGCUACAGAUAAACUCUGCUAAUGAUGCCACGUCACCUCCGUUACUGUUGCUAAUCCCUCGUUAGUUCAAAAACCGAUUCAAAAUUUAAAUUCAAAUUCAACAAUAAAAGUUUUCAAAUAUUAAAACCAAAUUGUUUUGGAUGUGACAAAUAAUUAGUUAGUAAUAUUGGUAGAGAAACAACAUUUUUGUAAAAUGCUUGGCUACCCUAGACUAAUCAAAAACAGUGGCUAAAAUAAUAAUUUAAUAGCUUUUUAAAUUAUAGCACUAUUAAACUAGUUUACUUUGGGUCCAAACUAAGUUUGGCAGUGGACUAAUUAGUAAUACUAAUUUAGGUGCUCAUUUGGUAUUUCAUAAAACUAACAUAAAAGAAACUUCAAGUGAAAACAGUAAAGAAAAUAAAGAAAAUGGAAAGUAUAAAAAAACA